UUCUCAUGUUUCCUGAAGACAGAGCGUGUUUACACAGGUGAGUUAGUCAAGUUAGUUUAUACAGGUGAGUUAGUCAGGUGAGUUUAUACAGCUGAGUUUAUACAGGUGAGUUUACACAGGUGAGUCAGUCAGGUGAGAUUAUACAGGUGAGUUAGUCAGGUGAGUUUAUACAGGUGAGUUAGUCAGGUGAGUUUAUACAGCUGAGUUUAUACAGGUGAGUUUACACAGGUGAGUUAGUCAGGUGAGUUUACACAGGUGAGUCAGUCAGGUGAGAUUAUACAGGUGAGUUAGUCAAGUUAGUUUAUACAGGUGAGUUUAUACAGGUGAGUUAGUCAGGUGAGUUUAUACAGCUGACUUUAUACAGGUGAGUUUACACAGGUGAGUCAGUCAGGUGAGUUUACACAGGUGAGUUAGUCAGGUGACUUUAUACAGGUGAGUUAGUCAGGCAUGUUUAUACAGGUGAGUUUACACAGGUGAGUUAGUCAGGUGAGUUUACACAGGUGAGUCAGUCAGGUGAGAUUAUACAGGUGAGUUAGUCAGGCGUGUUGGUCAGGUGAGUUGC
Long non-coding RNA from Dicentrarchus labrax (European seabass), 562 nucleotides. RefSeq lists it as uncharacterized. Lineage: Eukaryota; Metazoa; Chordata; Actinopteri; Moronidae. The record is from RefSeq and is a predicted model, not a curated record. The transcript is spliced from 4 exons.